ACAGAGAAGUCAAAUUUUUCCCCUAAAGACAAAAGAUGUUACAGCUUUAUUUUUGUGAAAGGUUUGGACAGUGCCUUGCAUAGAGGAGACAGUAUAUGUCUGUCUUUUCAGGAUCCUGUAUUAUGGCUUGGCAAACUACAUCUCACAGACCAAACUGGCCCACCGUUUAUUUUUGUUAAUAAAGCUUUAUUGGAACACA
Long non-coding RNA from Symphalangus syndactylus (siamang), 199 nucleotides. RefSeq lists it as uncharacterized. The record is from RefSeq and is a predicted model, not a curated record. Lineage: Eukaryota; Metazoa; Chordata; Mammalia; Primates; Hylobatidae.